UCAGAAAUAUCCGCAGGACUCAGAUUAGC
Molecule: non-coding RNA, 29 nt
Filed under: Rattus norvegicus (Norway rat)
Lineage: Eukaryota; Metazoa; Chordata; Mammalia; Rodentia; Muridae
Source: RNAcentral